Molecule: long non-coding RNA, 3828 nt
Filed under: Musa acuminata (dwarf banana)
Lineage: Eukaryota; Viridiplantae; Streptophyta; Magnoliopsida; Zingiberales; Musaceae
Description: long non-coding RNA (MACU_LNC001333)
Source: RNAcentral
AGGCAGCAGCAGCUGUAAUUCGGCUAACAACUGCUUCCACCAAACAAAAAACCAGCGCUGUCGAGGAAGAUGCAGCUGUCAAAAUUCAGUCUGCUUUCCGUGCAUAUUUGGUACUUCUCUAAUCUUUUCAAGUUCCUGUUGGGUUUCUCUGUUCAAAAGAAGAACAACUGUGUCAUUGAACUAUAAAUUAUCUCAUAAACAGAAACCAAAAAGUGACAAUCUAGAAUGAGAAAUAAAGGGGAUACAAACUGAUGCAUGCCAUAGCUUCCUUAAUCUGCAAUUAGCUUAAGAAGUAGGACCAAUCUCGUGAAUCCAUCAAUAACAGCAGAGAUACAUCAUAAGCAUUAAACCAGCAACAUCUUUGUAGUUUAAAAAAAAAAUCUUCUCCAUAAAACCAAGAUCAGUCGAGUUCAAGUAAACAAGAUGCAUAUAAUUCUGCAUUAUAUGUAAGAUCUAGGCUAAAAUUUAUGGGAAUUAUGACGGUAGUAGAAGAUAAUACUAAUGUAACAGAAUCAAAUCUUACUGCAGGCUAGAAAAGCUCUAUGUGCAUUGAGAGGCCUGGUAAAGCUGCAAGCUCUGGUGAGAGGUCACCUAGUAAGGAAGCAGGCUGCUGCUACCCUUCUCCGCAUCCAGGCUCUGGUGACAGCUCAAGAGCGAGCUCGAGCCCAGAGGAUCCGCAUGGCUGAAGAGUCGCAUGUUGUCCCACAGAGGCAGUCCAUCCACAGGAGAUCACCUCAGCACCCACGAUCUAGACAAUCACAUGUAAGUCAAAUCCAAUGCCUGAAUCUACUAACAGAGAAGAGAGUGACAAAUGCAUUACUAAACUCAUUCAAAAACCAAUUUUCUAGAUCUACCAUUGUUAAUGAAAAACAUUAACAUGCCUGUAGGAUAUGGAUAGAAAUUCUGAAGAGAACAUUAAGAUUGUGGAGAUGGAUCUUGGUGGACCGAGAGGCAAUACAAAGAGUAGAUACAGUUAUUCAAUCACAGAAACUGAAGCAAAAGAUCACAGGUUUUCUGGAUAUUAUGGCCAUGUCCAUACACCUUCCAAGAUAGUCCAAUACCAACAAUUCUCACCUGCUCCAUCUGUCUUGACGGAAAUGAGCCCUAGGACUUACAGCGGACAUUUCGAGGAUUUCUCGUUCGCGACAGCACAGAGCAGUCCACAGUACUUAUCAGCUAUUUCAGUGCCUGAUCCAUCACACUCUUGUGAUUAUCCCUUUCCAAACUACAUGGCCAACACUGAAUCUUCAAGAGCAAAGGCAAGGUCACAGAGUGCACCACGUCAACGAACUGAUACAAUCGAGAGGCAAACAAGCAGGCGGAGACCAUCAGUGGAUGGAAGAAACAUUCCUAGAAGCAUAAAAAUGCAGCGAUCAUCUUCGCAUCUCGGCAUGACGGCCAAUGGGUAUCAGUAUCAUCCUUGGUCUAUCAAGCUAGAUAAGUCCAACAUGUCCCUCAAAGACAGUGAAUGUGGAUCAACGAGCACAGUGCUAACAAAUAUCAAUUACUGCCGAUCAUUGGCAGGGUUUGAGGUACAUAUUUACAAAUGUCAACAUAAUCUCUUUGAUCACAUUUAAGAUUGGUCUUUGCUUCAGGAAACACUAUCUAAUAUGCCAUAAAUUUGUGCUUCCAGGUUCACAGAAACAGGCACUGAUUCUAUUUCUGACCAUCUCAAUUGCUAUAUGAAAUGUGCAAAGCGCCAAAGAUUGAAGCCGCAGACAUUCAGCAUUUGGCUUCUCAAGAACAGUAGAAAACUAGUGUCAAGAAGCUACUGAGACAUAGAAUUGCAAUUUUUUCUUCACAUGUAAAUGUGAUUAGAAGCCAUCUACAUGCUAUUUCUGCUUAUUGUGUACUUCAUGUGUCUUGCUGUAAGUGGGUGUUAAGAGAAUGACAAUUUAACUAAAAUUAUGCUGAUUAUUUGUAACUAUAUUGAAAGCUCAAACUGAUUUUGACCUCCAUAUUCAAAGUGGAUGAUGACAAUCGGUGAUUAUCAACAGACCAUGGAAAUACAAAUGAACUGGUCGUCAUUCAUUAGAUAAUGAAGUACAGGAAUGGCUCAAGUUGUGUCCAAUAGCCUAGAAUGAGUCACCUAUCAGCAACUGUCAUGUCAAAAUGAUAUGGGACAGUUACAAAGAGAUAGCUGUUGCUUCAAACUUGUAAUAUUUUAUAGUUUGGAAGAAAGAAAACGAAAAUUAAAUGAUCAGCAGCCAGGUUGCUGACAUAAAGACAACAAGAGAGGACUCUUCUGAUGAUGAAACAGUGAUCAACAAGAAAUGAACAUACGGUAUACAAUAAAAGACAUGAAGAAUGUAGGAUCCUACUUCAAGCUGGCUGCAAGGAGAUGACAAAAAUGUUCCUGCUUAAAUUUCUCUAUCGCUACAGGCUUGCCAGCAGAAUGACAGAUAAAGCAAAGCUGAUCUCUAGAUGAGAUAUCAGUUGCUUGCCCACCGACCCUAAGCAUGAAUCUUGCAGCAGAGACCAAAUUCUUCAUCAUGUCAAACAAUUGCAAAUAUGGAUCUCACGUGGCUACACAGUAGAUGAAAAUAAUCUUCUGACUUGCAAGAAAGCAUAGAUACCUGUGAUGCUAGCUAGAACCAAGGGAUACAUUAGCCCUAUUGUUGUUAUUACAGAGUUUAUAGGAAGAAUACCUGUUAAUUCUGUCUUCAGUCAAACUAAUUAAGAUGGAACGUAAUUGAGCUAAAUUUCUUUAUGGAUUUUUUUUUUUUUGCGAUGUUCUCUUUAGAAAAAGUACAACUAUUUGAAACUGCUCAGCCCAUAAUACUUUGCUCUGAAGCCACCACAAUGGCCCAACAUAUCUAUGCUAGAUGAUUCUCAAAAUUUGUACAUCAGAGUCCUUAAACCUAUAGAUAUAUGAUUUCCAAAAUUGUUAUCAUCAGACUCCAUAACCUAUUAGACAUAGGAUGCACUACUGCAUUGUAAUUGCCUUCAUUUUUGUAAAACCACUUAAAGAUCAUUCCAGACUGGUAACUUGUGCAUACUGUAAAUGCAAAGGAAGGAGGAAGAUAAUUAUAUACCUAUGCUGAUCGUCGACCCAACAACAGCAGCUGCAACUCAUAAUAUCCAAGCUUCUCAAAAGUGGUACAUCAGACUCCUUAAACCUAUUAGAUACAGGAUUCUUAAACUUGGUGUCAUCAGACUCCUUCAACCUAUGAGAUAGGAUUCUCUACUGCGUUGUAAUUGCCUUCCACCAUUUAUGUGAGACCACUUAAAGAUAAUUCCAGACUCGUAGCUUGUGCAUAUGGUGAUUGCAAAGCAAGAAGGAGACAACCUUAUCCAGAUUCUUAAAGUAACAAAACUAAUUAAGUCAAUGCCGCUUGAUCUUGGAAGUUGUAACAAUAAUUAAGUUACCCUUAACAUAUUACCCAAUCACUGAACCCUAAACAAAAAACCCCAAUACCCAAAAUCGCUUUGUGUGACCAGAAGAUGUUACAUGAACAGCAUUUCCAGUGAGAGGACACAUCACAGCGUAGGAAAUCUCAAGAAUUCUUGCUAAGCAAAAGUUCUGCAUCGAAGCCUAGCGUACUACAAUGACUAAUUUUAGUCAAAUAUACUUCGGAAAACCCUAUAGUGACGAUAAAAUCCCACGUGCAGUAAAUCAAACAGAGAACUCUGCGUGCUGGAUAAUCGAAAAGCGGUCACCUUGGGGGCUUGGGCACGCGCAAUCCCUGUAACCUCGAUUCACGUGCUUUCGGGAGAGAGGAACGGGGGAUCAGCCCCGAGCGAGGAAGAGCCACCUGAUGCACCAGGCUGGUGCGAGCUUUCCGAGUGGAGACGGAGAAGGAACAGGGGAGGAGGAGCCAAUAAGAG